This is a non-coding RNA of Salvelinus sp. IW2-2015, 728 nucleotides long. Lineage: Eukaryota; Metazoa; Chordata; Actinopteri; Salmoniformes; Salmonidae. The record is from RefSeq and is a predicted model, not a curated record.
CUGUUCCUACCUUCCCUAACUCUCCAUAGUCCUCCUGUAGUGACUCUGUUCCUACCUUCCCUAACUUCCAUUGUCCUCCUGCAGGUGACUCUGUUCCUACCUUCACUAACUCUCCAUUGUCUUCCUGUAGUGACUCUGUUCCUACCUUCCCUAACUCUCCUGUGUCCUCCUGUAGUGACUCUGUUCCUACCUUCCCUAACUCUCCAUUGUCCUCCUGCAGUGACUCUGUUUCCUACCUUCCCUAACUCUCCAUUGUCCUCCUGUAGUGACUCUGUUCCUACCUUCCCCAACUCUCCAUUGUCCUCCUGUAGUGACUCUGUUCCUUACCUUCCCUAACUCUCCAUAGUCCUCCUGUAGUGACUCUGUUCCUACCUUCCCCUAACUCUCCAUUGUCCUCCUGUAGUGACUCUGUUCCUACCUUCCCUAACUCUCCAUUGUCCUCCUGUAGUGACUCUGUUCCUGGAGUUCUGGAAGCGUCGGCAGGCCCGUCUGGAGUAUGAGUGGGACCUGGUGGACUUCGAGGAAGAGCAGCAGCAGCUCCAGCUGCGACCGGAGUACGAGACCAAGUGUACCAGCCGCAGACUUAACCGCGUCACACAGGAGAUGGAACCAUACUUUCCCGCAAAAUCCCAGUGUGCUCGUACAUUCCUGUCUGGAGCCACCGUCAUAUUCUGGAUCUCCCUGAUCAUAGCGUGUAUCAUCGGGGUGAUAGCGUACCGUCUGGCGGG